UGGGGAAUAUUGGGCAAUGGAGGAAACUCUGACCCAGCAACGCCGCGUGAAUGAUGAAGGUCUUCGGAUUGUAAAGUUCUUUGAUAGGGGAAGAAAAAAAUGACGGUACCCUAAGAACAAGCCCCGGCUAACUAUGUGCCAGCAGCCGCGGUAAUACAUAGGGGGCAAGCGUUAUCCGGAAUGACUGGGCGUAAAGGGUGCGUAGGUGGUCGCAUAAGUUGCAAGUGAAAUACCCGGGCUUAACUUGGGUGCUACUUGUAAGACUGUGUGACUGGAGUGCAGGAGAGGUAAGUGGAAUUCCUAGUGUAGCGGUGGAAUGCGUAGAUAUUAGGAGGAACAUCAGAGGCGAAGGCGACUUACUGGACUGUUACUGACGCUGAGGCACGAAGGUGUGGGGAGCAAACA
Molecule: ribosomal RNA, 405 nt
Filed under: uncultured Eubacteriales bacterium
Lineage: Bacteria; Bacillati; Bacillota; Clostridia; Eubacteriales
Description: uncultured Clostridiales bacterium partial 16S ribosomal RNA
Rfam family: Bacterial small subunit ribosomal RNA
Source: RNAcentral